GACGAACGCUGGCGGCGUGCUUAACACAUGCAAGUCGAGCGGUAAGGCCCUUUUGGGGGUACACGAGCGGCGAACGGGUGAGUAACACGUGGGUGACCUGCCCUCAGCUCUGGGAUAAGCCUGGGAAACUGGGUCUAAUACUGGAUAUGACCUUUCCUCGCAUGGGGGUUGGGUGGAAAGUUUUUUCGGCUGGGGAUGGGCCCGCGGCCUAUCAGCUUGUUGGUGGGGUGAUGGCCUACCAAGGCGACGACGGGUAGCCGGCCUGAGAGGCGACCGGCCACACUGGGACUGAGACACGGCCCAGACUCCUACGGGAGGCAGCAGUGGGGAAUAUUGCGCAAUGGGCGGAAGCCUGACGCAGCGACGCCGCGUGGGGGAUGACGGCCUCGGUUGUAA
This 396-nucleotide ribosomal RNA is filed under the name uncultured bacterium. RNAcentral describes it as "bacterial SSU rRNA". It matches the Rfam family "Bacterial small subunit ribosomal RNA", at positions 28 to 428 of the family's 1533-position model. The record is from RNAcentral.